CCUACGGGAGGCAGCAGUAGGGAAUAUUGCUCAAUGGGGGAAACCCUGAAGCAGCAACGCCGCGUGAGUGAAGAAGUAUUUCGGUAUGUAAAGCUCUAUCAGCAGGGAAGAAAUAGCGACCUUUGGGUCGCCAGACGGUACCUGAUUAAGAAGCCCCGGCUAACUACGUGCCAGCAGCCGCGGUAAUACGUAGGGGGCAAGCGUUAUCCGGAUUUACUGGGUGUAAAGGGAGCGUAGACGGCAGCGCAAGUCUGAAGUGAAAUGCCGGGGCUUAACCCCGGAACUGCUUUGGAAACUGUGCAGCUAGAGUGCAGGAGAGGUAAGUGGAAUUCCUAGUGUAGCGGUGAAAUGCGUAGAUAUUAGGAGGAACACCAGUGGCGAAGGCGGCUUACUGGACUGUAACUGACGUUGAGGCUCGAAAGCGUGGGGAGCAAACAGGAUUAGAUACCCGAGUAGUC
RNAcentral lists this ribosomal RNA (458 nucleotides) under uncultured bacterium. RNAcentral describes it as "partial 16S ribosomal RNA". It matches the Rfam family "Bacterial small subunit ribosomal RNA", at positions 338 to 795 of the family's 1533-position model. The record is from RNAcentral.